UACGAAGGGGGCGAGCGUUGUUCGGAUUUACUGGGCGUAAAGGGCGCGUAGGCGGUCGUGACAAGUCACUUGUGAAAUCUCCGGGCUUAACUCGGAACGGUCAAGUGAUACUGUCGGACUAGAGUACAGAAGGGGCAACUGGAAUUCUCGGUGUAGCGGUGAAAUGCGUAGAUAUCGAGAGGAACACCUGCGGCGAAGGCGGGUUGCUGGGCUGAUACUGACGCUGAGGCGCGAAAGCCAGGGGAGCGAACGGG
RNAcentral lists this ribosomal RNA (254 nucleotides) under uncultured bacterium. RNAcentral's name for it is "partial 16S ribosomal RNA". It matches the Rfam family "Bacterial small subunit ribosomal RNA", at positions 524 to 776 of the family's 1533-position model. The record is from RNAcentral.